This 361-nucleotide ribosomal RNA is filed under the name uncultured bacterium. RNAcentral describes it as "bacterial SSU rRNA". It matches the Rfam family "Bacterial small subunit ribosomal RNA", at positions 134 to 496 of the family's 1533-position model. The record is from RNAcentral.
UACUAGAGAAUAGCCAAGAGAAAUUUUGAUUAAUGCUCUAUACUCUUAUUAACUCACAUGAGUUUUUAAGAAAAGCUCCGCGGUAAAAGAUGGGCAUCGUCCUAUUAGCUUGUAGGUGAGGUAACGGCUCACCUAAGCUCCGAUAGGUAGGGGUCCUGAGAGGGAGAUCCCCCACACUGGUACUGAGACACGGACCAACUUCUACGGAAGGCAGCAGUAAGGAAUAUUGGACAAUGGAGGCAACUCUGAUCCAGCGAUGCCGCGUGAAGGAAGACGGCCCUAUGGGUUGUAAACUUCUUUUAUACAGGAAGAAACCUUUCCACGUGUGGAAAGCUGACGGUACUGUAAGAAUAAGGAUCGG